This 361-nucleotide ribosomal RNA is filed under the name uncultured bacterium. Its description in RNAcentral is "bacterial SSU rRNA". It matches the Rfam family "Bacterial small subunit ribosomal RNA", at positions 527 to 887 of the family's 1533-position model. The record is from RNAcentral.
AGAGGGUGCGAGCGUUAAUCGGAAUUACUGGGCGUAAAGGGUGCGUAGGCGGUUUUUUAAGUUAGAUGUGAAAUCCCCGGGCUUAACCUGGGAAUUGCAUUUAAGACUGGAGAGCUAGAGUAGAGUAGAGGGAAGUGGAAUUUCCGGUGUAGCGGUGAAAUGCGUAGAUAUCGGAAAGAACAUCAGUGGCGAAGGCGGCUUCCUGGACUCAUACUGACGCUGAGGCACGAAAGCAUGGGGAGCAAACAGGAUUAGAUACCCUGGUAGUCCAAGCCGUAAACGAUGAUAACUAGAUGCUGGUAGGUUAAACUUAUCAGUAUYGAAGSUAACGCGAUAAGUUAUCCGCCUGGGGAGUACGGCC